UGGGGAAUUUUGGACAAUGGGCGAAAGCCUGAUCCAGCAAUGCCGCGUGUGUGAAGAAGGCCUUCGGGUUGUAAAGCACUUUUGUCCGGAAAGAAAUCCUUGGCUCUAAUACAGUCGGGGGAUGACGGUACCGGAAGAAUAAGCACCGGCUAACUACGUGCCAGCAGCCGCGGUAAUUACGUAGGGUGCAAGCGUUAAUCGGAAUUACUGGGCGUAAAGCGUGCGCAGGCGGUUUGCUAAGACCGAUGUGAAAUCCCCGGGCUCAACCUGGGAACUGCAUUGGUGACUGGCAGGCUAGAGUAUGGCAGAGGGGGGUAGAAUUCCACGUGUAGCAGUGAAAUGCGUAGAGAUGUGGAGGAAUACCGAUGGCGAAGGCAGCCCCCUGGGCCAAUACUGACGCUCAUGCACGAAAGGCGU
This 417-nucleotide ribosomal RNA is filed under the name uncultured bacterium. RNAcentral describes it as "partial 16S ribosomal RNA". It matches the Rfam family "Bacterial small subunit ribosomal RNA", at positions 355 to 763 of the family's 1533-position model. The record is from RNAcentral.